AUCGCUUCUCAGCCUUUUGGCUAAGAUCACGUGUAGUACCUGUUCUCGUCAGCUUAAUAUAAUGGCCUCCCAGACACUGAUAGUCUAUUAUCUGAAUUUCCCUGUAAUGUCUGUCUAUACUUCAUUCUUUUUUUUGAAUGUUUAAUUUAU
Molecule: small nuclear RNA, 150 nt
Filed under: Suricata suricatta (meerkat)
Lineage: Eukaryota; Metazoa; Chordata; Mammalia; Carnivora; Herpestidae
Description: U2 spliceosomal RNA (ENSSSUG00005015871.1)
Rfam family: U2 spliceosomal RNA
About the family: U2 is a small nuclear RNA (snRNA) component of the spliceosome (involved in pre-mRNA splicing). Complementary binding between U2 snRNA (in an area lying towards the 5' end but 3' to hairpin I) and the branchpoint sequence (BPS) of the intron results the bulging out of an unpaired adenosine, on the BPS, which initiates a nucleophilic attack at the intronic 5' splice site, thus starting the first of two transesterification reactions that mediate splicing.
Source: Rfam by way of RNAcentral